RNAcentral lists this long non-coding RNA (1054 nucleotides) under Nicotiana benthamiana. Its description in RNAcentral is "long non-coding RNA (NBEN_LNC003768)". The record is from RNAcentral. Lineage: Eukaryota; Viridiplantae; Streptophyta; Magnoliopsida; Solanales; Solanaceae.
UAUAUUUAUCAAUGGACACUCUCUCUCCAGGAUCGAGAUUGAGUAAUUUCUCAUCGAACUCAUCAAUAAAAUGGGAGGAAUUGUUUCUAACAGUAGAACUCGGUUGAGAAGAAUUAAACUUCGUCAAAAAUACAUCCAUCUCAAUUCAUAAGAAUAAGAACUUUCUACGAAAAAUGAGUCCAAUAAAUUUAAGAGUCUAUCAAGAAUACAAAUAAACACAAUAUUAAUAGAGCAAUCACAUCCCUUUAUCAAGAAUAAGACAAAUACUUCAACUUGUUGAAUCAAUUUAAGAGUCUAUCAAGAAUACAAACAAACACAUUAUGAAUAGAGCAAUCACACCCAUUUAUCAAGAGUAAAACAAAUACUUCAACUUAUUGAAUCUAAUACUAAUUUUUUUUUUAAAAGAAACAGAAAAUAGAAAUUAGAAAUAGAAGAACAAACAUUUGAUUUCAAAAAUGACCAAAAUGGCUCAAAGUAAGGCACAAAACUAGUAUAACAGGAGUCCAUAACCUCAAAAUUACAUAUACUCUUACACUUUUCCAAAUAUCUCAAACAUCAAAUACUAAAACUUAGCAAACUAUUUUUUGGAAACGAAAAAACAAGAUCGUACUGAAGACAGCUUCUAAUCGAACAAACUGAAUCAAACAUACUAAAAAUUCUUCAAUUUAAAAGAAAAUUAGAGUUUCAAAGUAAGAGAAGCGUUAAGUUGCAAAUAAAGAAUAAGUUUUGAAGUAAGAAAAGCACUAACCAGAGAUUGAGGAAGAAUGAUUCUCUAUUUUGAAGUGAGAAGUGAUGGAGGCGGACUGGUGGAGCCUGGAGGAGAUCUUUGAUUUUUGAUUGAGGAAUAACGAAGAAGUGAAGAAGAAGAAGAAGAUCUGGGGAAGCAGCGGCGUAAAUUGAAAUUGGGGAACUGGGGCAGUGACUGGAAAUUGGGCGUGAAUGUAAUGGGAAUGGGGACUUUUGACUAAUAUUAUUUAAUUAUUUAAAGUGUAAAAUAUAAUUGAAUUGUGAUUUGUUCCAACUGGAACAUAGUUGAGUAUUAUUUAAAAUAACC